GCGUGUGUGGAUAUAGUCCAUGUUUUCUUGUUACUCGUUGUCAUUAAUGUUACGUGAUUGUUUUGCCGUGUUUCUCAAGUUCCGUGAUUAUUAAUUAAGUUUCUAGUGUUGCCGACCUCAGACUAUUAUCUCGACUAUUCUCUUGCUUAUGCCCAUUUGGUUUUGUUUGCCUGCUCUUGGACUGUCUACCCGUGUACCAAAUCCUGUUAAGUAAAACAUUUACCCUUCCAUCUACUGCUGUGUUUUGAGUCGUGCGUUUUGAGUCCUGCACAUCACCCUCAAUUCGUAACAUGGCUGGCCUCAACUUCGAAUAUGCAGAGUUAUUUGGGUUGCCCGUAGCUGGAGGUCUCGCAAGUCACGAUCAACUGCUGCAUGGACCUAUAAUCACGCACCAAUAUAUUCGAUCUACAACACCCAAUUUAUAUUAUCCUAUCGAUGGUGCCCGGCCUACAUCGCAGUAGUUAUAACACUGGACCCAAUACAAACUCCGCAAUAACAGCGCUGGAAGAACUCUAGGACGAUGUGGGUGAACCUGGGUCGUACAUGAGCCAACUACUGGGUCCUAAUCAACCACGGCGAGUGUCCAUGAAAAGACUGUGCACGGAAUCAGCCAACACUAAAUCGAUCAAGAAUGUUAACACAGCCAUUGUGUUUGACGAGCUGGUGCUGGACAUCCAACUAGCUGAGGUGGUUUGUGGGGCUAGUGACACAGGGGAAUUGCCAGACCAGCUGACCAGUAUCUGCGCUUGGACAGACAGCGAUAACCGAUUGGGAUCAAGCGGGGUUCAUCUGUGACACCGGAGCGGUCACACCUGAAACAGCAGCAGGCGAGAACGAUCAACAAAGACGUGACGGGGAGCUUAACAACGUUGGUGACUCAGCAGUGGCUACGCCGGAAACAUGGAAACACGUCAGCCUACAGACAGCUAUCAACGAUAAUUCUGGACUUGUACCAUGAUCAUUCUCAACAAACAGCGGGUCCCAACACACAGACCCAAGCGAUUGAUCAGAGGUAUGGGCAAUGCAUUAUUGAAAAUGGUGAUGUGGUGGGUGCAGCUAGUACAAGGCGUUUGAAUAGAGUUAGCAUCACGCGUGAGAUAUCUAACCCAAGAAAUACGUAGCAUAAAGACAGCUGUAAAUGGGGGGGGGGGGGGGGGGGGGUCGGGGUCUGUUUUUUCCACAGGCGUUACGGUGCAAACCCAUGACAGUGACGCGAUACGCUUCCAUCACUUUGAGUGGGCGUGUUGUAACGUGUGGAAAUAGCAUUUUCAAACUGUCAGAGACGACACCAAACAUUCUGAUUGGCCGCUGAUUGGUCGCUCAUAACGGUGUCAUGGGUUUCCACCGUUAUGUGUUAUUGUAUCGUGUUUGGCUAUAUGUGGUUUUUUUUUUAUUAUUAUUAUUUUUUUUUAUAUCCAAGCCAGGGUAACAUAAUUUCCAUGAGCGAAGAUAUCCGACAGCUGAAUUUAAUGCUCGACGGAUGAUGAAAGUGCAGUCUAAUAAUGUUGUACACGGGGGGCCUCAAUGAACAUGGUUCAGUUGAUGGUCGUGCAGGUUCUGACGUUGGUAAUAGGUUAGGCAGGCGUGAAGAUAUCCGACAGCUGAAUGUAAUGCUUAAUACAUAUUGGUCUGAUAACACGAAUCACAUAGCCCCGUAUGAUAGACAUACAACGGAUGAUGGAAGUGCACUGUAUAAUAGUGUUGGUACACGAGGGGCCUCAAUGAACAUGGUUCAGUUGAUGGUCGUGCAGGUUCUGACGUUGUUGGUAUGAUACCCGUGAGUGGCGAUAGAGCGUGUCUCAACCCUGUUUUAGAUGAUAGGCGCAACAGACGGGGUGCAGAUAUUGCUGUGCUAGGUGAAGCUGUUGUACCAUCGACUAGUCAGUGUUUCCCCUACCGUUAUAUUAGGGGGGCGCCCCGCCCCCCCAACGGCACCCCCCGCCCCUCCUGGAAGGUCAAGUUAAUUUUGUUCAAUUUUAUUUUCUAUAAAGCGCCAGAUCACAAUGGAAGUCAUUUAAUAUUACCUUUCCUAUAGAACAGGUCUAUAGCUUGUUGUUUUAUUAAACAAAAUAAAUAGCCUUAUGUUUAUCUUAUUUACACAACGGCAUGUAAUUUCUGUCUUUCUGUAAUUUCUGCGAUUACAAUUCUCUGUAUCACGCAUGGGGGAGUUCCGCCACGAUGCGCACAAACACAGACACGUGCGCGCACACACAGGUGAGCACGCUCCCACCAGCGGACAGAAUUGGGCUUAAGAAUGAGUGCACAGCUACGGACACUUAAGCUUUAAAAAACACAUUUCCAGGCGUUCAUGAAUCCAGCGAUAUUUUCCUAGGUAGGGUCGAGAAAGAGGCCUAAUGGGUGGCUACAACAGACGUGGAAACAGAACGUACGCCCAUGUCCGCACCGAAAAUUCAGAAAUAGAUCUGGCUUCCAUUUUUUAUCAUUUUCCGCGAGUUGUGCGUGGCCCUUUUUACAUAGAGUCUGGUAAUAAAUCUAUGACAUGUAAUGAACAUUAUUUAUUUUGCUGUGAAUAAUGAAGGAAGCAAUCAGGGGCGUUUCUAGGAUUCAAAGAAAGGGGGGGCUUAGCCCCAAGGGGAGUGGCAUGUUUGCACGCGGCAAUUAUAAUUUUUUUAGGCCUAUAUGGGGCCGCGGAUAUCCAUUGUUUCAGACAGUUCAUAGAUUGGUUUAAUCAGAAAGAGUGUGAUUUUGCUCUGUAGUUUUGCUUGCAUUCAGUAUAUGAUAACACAAGAGACAGAAUGACUGGGUCAUAGUGAAAUUUGACAACACAAAUAUACCAGCUGUGGUGAAAUGACCUGUUCUGAGCUGUCCUGUGGGUAGCUCUUCAGCUUAACCUGUCUGGGCCCUGUGUCUUUUUCACCUAAAUCAUUAGUUGCUGCAGCUGCUUGGUCUGUCUCUUCCUCUCUCUGACUCCUUGCCUCAGCCUCUCCUUCUGCAUGAC
Molecule: long non-coding RNA, 2959 nt
Organism: Clupea harengus (Atlantic herring)
Lineage: Eukaryota; Metazoa; Chordata; Actinopteri; Clupeiformes; Clupeidae
Source: Ensembl